AUGAUGGCUGUGGAUAAAUGGCGCGCAUACCUUCAACGGGGGCCGUUCACAAUCAUUACCGACCACAAGAGCUUGUGCAAUCUGCAGGAUCAGCAACUCGCCACCGACCUUCAACGCAAAGCAAUGGCCAAAUUGGUCGGCCUUCAGUUCAAGUUCUGUUAUCGCCGCGGCUGUGACAACGGCGCGGCCGAUGCUCUGUCUCGCGUGGGGGCAGCUUUGAACCUGGACGCGCUCUCCAUUUGUCAGCCGGCUUGGGUUCAGGAGGUGGCCAACUCCUACGCCACAGACGCCGACGCACAAGAGCGCUUGGCGCGCCUGGCCAUUCGCAGCCCGGACGACGAGGGGUUUGAGCUCUACAAGGGGCUGAUAUGCAAGCAGGAACGACUCUGGAUCGGCAAGAACACAACUCUCCGCACUAAAGUCAUCAGCGCCAUACAUGACAGUGCGGUCGGUGGGCACUCCGGCGCGACGGCCACUUAUCAGCGCGUCAAGAAACUGUUCGUCUGGGAGGGGUUGAAGUCUGAUGUUGCAGACUAUGUUCGUCAAUGCCCGGUCUGUCAGCACGCCAAGCACGAGCAGUUCAAGCCCGCGGGCAAGCUGGCGCCUCUGCCCGUGCCCACCGCGCCAUGGCGCGACCUCACAAUGGACUUUGUGGAGGGUCUGCCAGCAUCGGAAGGCUUUGAUUCAAUCAUGGUGGUGGUGGACCGGCUCACCAAGUUCGCGCAUUUCAUCCCACUCCGGCAUCCCUUCAAGGCACCACAAGUGGCUAAGGUCUUUUGGGAUCACGUCGUCAAGCUUCACGGAAUCCCAAACUCCAUCGUCUCUGACCGCGACCGCGUCUUCACCAGUGCACUGUGGCGCGAGCUCUUCGCCAGCGCGGGCACUAAAUUGCUCUAUUCCACGGCAUACCACCCCCAGACGGACGGGCAAAGCGAGAGGGUCAAUCAGUCCAUGGAGAUGUACCCGCGGUGCGCGGUGCACGAUGCGCCACGCCAAUGGCGCCGCUGGCUUCCAACCGCCGAAUUCUGGUACAAUUCUUCCUUCCAUUCCUCCAUCAAGUGUUCUCCCUUCAAGGCGCUUUACGGAGUGGAGCCGAACCUGGGCGCGCUGGCGCUCUGGGACGACAAGACGACGCCGAUCAUCGACGGCGAACCCUGGGAUUGGGGCGUGCACACGGCGCGCCUGCGCGAGCACAUCCUUCGGGCGCAGCACCGCUUCAAGAAGCAAGCCGACCAACACCGCACCGAGCGCUCCUUCGAAGUGGGUGACUCCGUGCUCUUGAAGCUCCAGCCCUAUGCCCAGUCUUCGGUGGCCAACAAACCAUGCGCCAAGUUGGCAUACAAGUACUUCGGCCCGUUCACGGUGCUCGCCAAGAUAGGCAACCUCGCUUACAAGUUGGAGCUUCCAAUGGACAGCAAGAUCCACCCAGUCUUCCAUGUGUCACAGCUCAAGCCCUUCACUCCCAAGUACACUCCAGUCUUCGCCGAUCUGCGGCGGCCCCCGGACCUCGCCGGAACUGCUGAUGAGCCAAUGGAGAUCGUCGAACGCCGCAUGGUCAAGCACGGCAACAACGCUCUGGUGCAGGUCAGAAUUCGUUGGAAGAACGACGCCACGGCCACGACUUGGGAAGAUUACGACACUCUUCGCCAUCGCUUUCCGCAAGCUUCCGUGUGGGAUGCACCGGCAGCCAGCAACAGCGAUCACCACCAAGCUACUGAAGACGGCGCCAGUUCUCAAGGGAUGGGGAAUGUCACACCUACAUCACCGGUGGUGGAUGCGGUGGACGAGUGA
Molecule: ribosomal RNA, 1791 nt
Filed under: Triticum aestivum (bread wheat)
Lineage: Eukaryota; Viridiplantae; Streptophyta; Magnoliopsida; Poales; Poaceae
Description: partial small subunit ribosomal RNA
Source: RNAcentral